RNAcentral lists this ribosomal RNA (253 nucleotides) under uncultured bacterium. RNAcentral describes it as "partial 16S ribosomal RNA". It matches the Rfam family "Bacterial small subunit ribosomal RNA", at positions 524 to 776 of the family's 1533-position model. The record is from RNAcentral.
UACAGGGGGGGCAAGCGUUGUUCGGAAUUACUGGGCGUAAAGGGCUCGUAGGUGGCCAACUAAGUCGGACGUGAAAUCCCUCAGCUUAACUGGGGAACUGCGUGUGAAACUGGCGAGCUUGAGGACAGGAGAGGAACGCGGAAUUCCAGGUGUAGCGGUGAAAUGCGUAGAUAUCUGGAGGAACACCGGUGGCGAAGGCGGCGUUCUGGACUGUUUCUGACACUGAUAAACGAAAGCCAGGGGAGCAAACGGG